Molecule: ribosomal RNA, 265 nt
Filed under: uncultured bacterium
Lineage: Bacteria
Description: partial 16S ribosomal RNA
Rfam family: Bacterial small subunit ribosomal RNA
Source: RNAcentral
GUCCACGCCGUAAACGAUGGAUGCUAGAUGUCGUGGGUAUUGACCCCUACGGUAUCGCAGCUAACGCAUUAAGCAUCCCGCCUGGGGAGUACGGUCGCAAGGCUAAAACUCAAAGGAAUUGACGGGGGCCCGCACAAGCGGUGGAGCAUGUGGUUCAAUUCGACGCAACGCGAAGAACCUUACCUGGGUUAAAUCCACUGGAACCCCGCAGAGAUGUGGGAGUGCUCGCAAGAGAGCCAGUGAGAAGGUGCUGCAUGGCUGUCGU